This 333-nucleotide ribosomal RNA is filed under the name Triticum aestivum (bread wheat). RNAcentral's name for it is "partial small subunit ribosomal RNA". Lineage: Eukaryota; Viridiplantae; Streptophyta; Magnoliopsida; Poales; Poaceae. The record is from RNAcentral.
AUGCCGCCUAUCCGCGCCCCUCCCACACACUCCCGACCUCCUCCCGGCGUACCACCGCCCCUGCUCCUCCUCCUCCUCCUCCAGGAGGACGCGCCGCCGCCCCUGUUCUUCCUUCCUCCUAUCGGCAUGCGUGCCGCCACCCCUCUGGCCGUCGCCGGCAUCCCGUUCGAGCCCGUGGAUCCGAGGAAGAUGGAGACGAUGGAUGAUGGGAAGGACCAGCGGCUGCCUAGUGGUGACCUCGUGGAAGCAGACGGUCGACAAAGACCAUCAUCGAGGCUGCUACUGGAGUUCAGCAGAAGGAUUCACAUCAGUGCAAAUCUCCGGUGGGAGUAA